This 252-nucleotide long non-coding RNA is filed under the name Homo sapiens (human). RNAcentral describes it as "HSALNT0331753". Lineage: Eukaryota; Metazoa; Chordata; Mammalia; Primates; Hominidae. The record is from RNAcentral.
CUAUGUUUCUUGCUGUUGCUGGCUAUGAUGUGAGCCAGAGUGGUCUAGAAAAGAUGACAUACAUGGAGUUUGAAAAGCUGGUAAGACACAGAGAGACCAGCACCCAUGGGAACCACCACACGCAGCAUCACUAUUUACCAAAAGCAACUUGACCUCGGAAGAAUGCUGAGCAGCACAGAAACAAUCAAAAAUACCACAGGACAUUUAAAAACAACAACAACAAAAAUAUUAUAAAUAAAACAGGAAAGUAGC